GCCUUGACACAAGUAAUAACCAAAUCGAUACCAAACCUCUGAAGCUGCCAGUCGUCGAUUUGCUCUAAAAAGCUUCACAAUAAACAGUAGGGGAAGCUGACUGUAACAUACAGAGCAACCCCACAGAAACCCUAUAAUAAAAAGCUCCAUCCAAAAGAGUGUUAUUAAGACUCCAAAGCUAGAGACUAAAACAAACUAGGAAAAAC
RNAcentral lists this unclassified non-coding RNA (206 nucleotides) under Hevea brasiliensis (rubber tree). Lineage: Eukaryota; Viridiplantae; Streptophyta; Magnoliopsida; Malpighiales; Euphorbiaceae. The record is from RNAcentral.